UGCAGUAGCUUCACCAGAUUUCGUUGCAUCUGCUGUCUAAGAUUAUUGAGGUUAGCGUUAUUUAUGGUUAAAUAUGAGAGUGUGGGAGAAGUUGUUGUCAGGUACUGCACCCAAACCAGGAGGAUAAAGGAGGCCGCGGGCCCCUCCCUCCGCGCGGGCUCGCACCUCUCCCCAGCCUGGUGCACCUGGGCUGACGCGGGCUCGGGACUCGUGCGGAGCGCCGCGAGCGCGGCGGAGGCAGAGGCGCGCUGACUGCCACCUCCAGCCCGUACCGGAGGGACAGCACGCGCUGUGCAACGGAGACCGUUCUCCUUGGCCGCCGCUCACGGCUCGCGGCGACCACCGCCGUUGAAGCUGCGGGCGGGCAGCCGUGCGUCUCCCGGGACAGCCAGCCCCAGCGGCUGCUCCUCCCGGAUGCCAGGGCCAGGGCGCCGGGCAGCCGCCAGCAGGAGAAUGAAGAGCUCGGUGGGAGGAAGGAGAGAAAAGCUCUUGGGGGCGCCGAAAGCUCAGCCCAGCCGCGAUUUCACCUGUGUACACGAUGGCGAGAGUGAGGCUGAAUUAAUACCUGAUGACUUUGAAGAAAAACCAGAAAGAGAAAAGAAACAUACCAACUUUACUUUGUGCAACGUAUGUAACAUUCAGCUGAAUUCAGCCGCUCAAGCACAAAUCCACUACAAUGGCAAAUCACAUCAAAAGAGAUUAAAACAACUCACCAAUGGGAUGCUGAAAAAUGACAAUGGUGGUACAUGCCAGAGUCCUGCUCUCCCGGCCCUUGUCCGUCCACCAGCCCCUCCUUUGCAACCAUCGCUGGAUAUUAAACCAUUUCUUCCCUUUCCUCUUGACACUGCAGCUGCAGUCAACCUCUUCCCCAAUUUCAAUGCGAUGGACCCAAUUCAGAAAGCUGUAAUAAACCAUACAUUCGGAGUUCCUCUUCCCCAUCGAAGAAAGCAAAUCAUAUCAUGCAA
RNAcentral lists this small RNA (965 nucleotides) under Pongo abelii (Sumatran orangutan). Its description in RNAcentral is "processed transcript". The record is from RNAcentral. Lineage: Eukaryota; Metazoa; Chordata; Mammalia; Primates; Hominidae.